GUGACUGUAGCUCUGUAGGAAGAGCAGCUGUCUUGCAAUCAGAAGGUCGUGGGUUUGAGUCCAACUUCCUCCUGCCAUA
Characodon lateralis is the source of this 79-nucleotide non-coding RNA. Lineage: Eukaryota; Metazoa; Chordata; Actinopteri; Cyprinodontiformes; Goodeidae. The record is from the annotation of a GenBank genome assembly.